RNAcentral lists this ribosomal RNA (308 nucleotides) under uncultured bacterium. RNAcentral describes it as "bacterial SSU rRNA". It matches the Rfam family "Bacterial small subunit ribosomal RNA", at positions 626 to 932 of the family's 1533-position model. The record is from RNAcentral.
UUGGAAACUGGUUAACUUGAGUGCAAAAGAGGAAAGUGGAACUCCAUGUGUAGCGGUGGAAUGCGUAGAUAUAUGGAAGAACACCAGUGGCGAAGGCGGCUUACUGGACUGCAACUGACGUUGAGGCUCGAAAGUGUGGGUAGCAAACAGGAUUAGAUACCCUGGUAGUCCACACCGUAAACGAUGAACACUAGGUGUUAGGAGGUUUCCGCCUCUUAGUGCCGAAGCUAACGCAUUAAGUGUUCCGCCUGGGGAGUACGACCGCAAGGUUGAAACUCAAAGGAAUUGACGGGGACCCGCACAAGCGG